GGCUUUCAAUCUUUUUUGACAGCCCAAGUUACAAAUAUAUCAUGAUCCAGCACAGAUCUAUCUGUACGUGAACUCGAAGCUUUAUGACAAAAUACCUAUCCUUUCAAUUGCCAAGUAGUAAGCUCUCCAGAACUGACCUGGCAUUACUUGAAUGCCUAUCUUAAGUGAAAUACUCCUUAGAGGAACCCAUGUAAACAAGAAUUCUUGUGUAAAAAUAGAGUAGUCCCCCUUCAUCUUCAGUUUUGCUUUCAACAGUCUCUCCCCACACACACCCCCCAACUAUUAUCUUAAAGUAUGGAAUAGAAAAACCCCGGAAACAUUUCAUGUUUUAACUUGCAUGCUGUUUAGUGUGAAUAUUGCACCCUCCCUACUGGGACAUGAAUCAUCCCUGUCUAGUCUAUCCAAACUGAAGCUACCUCAGCAGCCAUCUUAAAACCCACUGCACAACCAGGGUUUAUAUUCCAGUAACCCUUAUUUUGCUUUAAGGGCCCCAAUUUAAUUAUAGCUUAAUUGUUCCAUUUGAUUAGUAAUAACCUCUAAUUGUACCAAACUUCAUAAAUGAAAACUUAGGUCUGUAAGGAAAAAUCAGUAAUCAGCCCUCAAACUUCAAGGCUGGGGAUGUGGCUCAAGCGGUAGCAUGCUCUCCUGUAGUGCGUGGGGCACUGGGUUCUAUCCUCAACACCACAUAAAAAUAUUGUGUUCACCUAAAACUAAGUAAAUAUUUUUUUAAAAAAUUCAAGGGUUCCACAUGUAGAUCCAACUAACUACAUAUUUUUAAAAGCUGGCUCUAUUUAGCAUGUGUUCAUUAUUCCCUGAAUACAUAUUACAUUGUAUUAGGUAUUAAGUACUCUAUACACUAUUUUAUGAUUUUAUAAAAGGACUUAAGCAUUGGCAGACUCACAUCCAAGAAGGUCCUAGAACCAUUUCCUACAGAUACUGAGGGACACCUGUAUGUGUAAUUUUUUACAUCAAACUGAGGUUUUGAACAUAUCCCCUGUGGAUAAGGAGGAACUACCAUACCCUAGAAGAGCAGUAUUUUCAUUCAGACUCAAAAAAGAACCCAUCAAAAUAUCAACCUCAGAGCUAGGAAGUAGCUCAGUGGAAAGCACUUGCCUUGCACGCACAAUGCCCUGGAUUCAAUCCCCAGUUCCAAAAAAAGAAGGGACAAAAAGAAAACGCAAAUAUCAACUCCAAAUACAAAGU
RNAcentral lists this long non-coding RNA (1203 nucleotides) under Marmota monax (woodchuck). Lineage: Eukaryota; Metazoa; Chordata; Mammalia; Rodentia; Sciuridae. The record is from RNAcentral.